GUAGGUGGCAAGCGUUGUCCGGGAAUUAUUGGGGCGUAAAGCGCGCGCAGGCGGUCCUUUAAGUCUGAUGCGAAAGCCCACGGGCUCAACCGUGGAGGGUCAUUGGAAACUGGGGGACUUGAGUGCAGAAGAGAAGAGUGGAAUUCCACGUGUAGCGGUGAAAUGCGUAGAGAUGUGGAGGAACACCAGUGGCGAAGGCGACUCUUUGGUCUGUAACUGACGCUGAGGCGCGAAAGCGUGGGGAGCAAACAGGAUUAGAUACCCUGGUAGUCCACGCCGUAAACGAUGAGUGCUAAGUGUUAGAGGGUUUCCGCCCUUUAGUGCUGCAGCAAACGCAUUAAGCACUCCGCCUGGGGAGUACGGCCGCAAGGCUA
RNAcentral lists this ribosomal RNA (374 nucleotides) under uncultured organism. RNAcentral's name for it is "partial 16S ribosomal RNA". It matches the Rfam family "Bacterial small subunit ribosomal RNA", at positions 527 to 896 of the family's 1533-position model. The record is from RNAcentral.